UAUGCUUGUAUUUAAAAUCAAAUUAUAGAAUUACAAGAAUUUGAAAGAGAAAAGUAAAAUACUAACCUUAAAUCCAUAAUUAAUCUUCAAGGAAGUUCAUAGAACGAUUAGCAAUCAUUAUGCUCAAUAAUAUGUAAAAAUUGAGCAUCGUGCAUGUAUCCAAAGCCAUAGUAUUUAAUAUUUGCGUGGGCCUCUCUUAUGGAGAUAAGCGUAAUAUUCUUCAUGAACGCCCAUAUAAAUUUAAGACUGACAUUCCAAGCCGUAAUUCUUUUAUAUACAUCAACCAAAUUGUAAUCACAAGAGAACCCGACGAUUCUUGCCCAGAAUUCUCAACGACACUUGAGCUCGCAGCCGCGAACUCAAAUCGGAACCUCAGGACACACCUCGAACAACAACUUCGACUAUGCAGCAAUCGGACUUUGGUAAAAGGAGAUCAGAUUUAAAAGAUAAAAUAUGAAGCUAUUGCAAAUUGAAUUUCUAGGCUGCUGCGUUUUUAUAUUAUCAGAAACAAACAAUUUUGGUCUUGCCCUUUCAACCGCGUCUAUCCCUUGGUCUAGAUUGCAAAUCGCCGGAAAAUACAUGAGAAAUCGGAAAUAUUAGAUUCGGCCAAAUAUGGUUUAGGACUGGAGUUUAGGUGAUGUCCAUGGUUGGUUUAAGUUGAUUGAUUUUUGGUGAAGGGAGGUAGUUGGAGAUCUGUGGUGGUUCCGAAUUUUGUUCUAUGUGUGC
This 726-nucleotide long non-coding RNA is filed under the name Nicotiana benthamiana. Its description in RNAcentral is "long non-coding RNA (NBEN_LNC029415)". Lineage: Eukaryota; Viridiplantae; Streptophyta; Magnoliopsida; Solanales; Solanaceae. The record is from RNAcentral.